UGACCCUUUAAGGGUCCUGAAGGAACGUUGAAGACGACGACGUUGAUAGGCCGGGUGUGUAAGCGCAGCGAUGCGUUGAGCUAACCGGUACUAAUGAACCGUGAGGCUUAACCUUACAACGCCGAAGCUGUU
Molecule: ribosomal RNA, 132 nt
Filed under: Escherichia coli
Lineage: Bacteria; Pseudomonadati; Pseudomonadota; Gammaproteobacteria; Enterobacterales; Enterobacteriaceae
Description: partial 23S ribosomal RNA
Rfam family: Bacterial large subunit ribosomal RNA (bases 1-115)
Source: RNAcentral